Molecule: long non-coding RNA, 2960 nt
Organism: Ictalurus punctatus (channel catfish)
Lineage: Eukaryota; Metazoa; Chordata; Actinopteri; Siluriformes; Ictaluridae
Source: Ensembl
AGCUGAUAUUGAUUAUUUUCCUAUAACAGCAUGUCCUGAGGUGUUAUUCCUCACAUCCCACAGCAAUUUGCCAAACCUAACAAUACCUUUUUAUUAAUGAAUGUCACAUGAUACUAUUUAUCCAUUUGUAGUUGCAUUUUAAUGUUCUUGAACAUCCAUAAAACAAGUUCCUGUUAUCACUCAACAGUUGUUCCCUCACCAGAUUCAACAUUUUCUCUCUCUCUUGAUGUUAAACAUGCAUUAAAAUGCAGUUUGUCAGGUUAUGAGAAACUGGAAAGCCACCUGUCUGAGAUUUUUGUCUCAGUGUGACUAUCCGGGUUAAUUAAAGGUUAAAUAAAAUAAGUAACACAAUGUAUUAGAACUAGUGUGUUAAUAUAAUCCUGUGAUUUGUGUUGCUGCCAGAAAUGCUUUCAGAGCUGCUGUUAUAGAAACUUAAUCACCUUCUGACCAAUCAGAAUCAGGCAUUCAACUGCACGGUGGUAUUUCUUUUUUUUUCUUUCUUUUGUUUAAAGGUGAAGAAGGGUAUUGACAUGUGUGACAGAGAAAGCAAUUGGAAAAAAAAGUUGGAAAUAAGAAAUAUUUAUUUCUUCCAUUUACCGUAAGUGCAGGUUUACUUUUCAGAAAACAAAUAUUUCUGCAAAUAUUUCAUUUUAGAGAAUAAAAUAGUCUAUCAAAUCAAAUAUCUAGAACAAAGUGAGAUUUAUAGUUAGUAGCUAGCAAUACUAGUGACUCAGAAUUCAGACCUUGAGUAACACGACCGCAUUAAAAACCUUUUUACAUCUCUAAACACAUAUUUAUUCUAGUUGCACAAUACUGUCUUUGAUUUGGAAUAAACUUGAGUAUAGUAAUGGUUGUUCCAGACAAAUACAAUGAGCUGUUAACUUUGUGAAUUUUUUUAUGUCAUAUAGAGAUAUUAUGUUAUUGGAUGGAAAUGCACUUGUUUGUACUAUAAGGCCAGCACUGUUCCCCAAACCACCCCCCACCCACAUUCUUACCAGAUAGAGCUUUGUUUUUGAGCACAUUGUAUGUCAGUCCACACCUUGUACAUUGCUUGCUUUUUUAUUGCUUGUACUGUAUAAUACUUUUAAAUGAUUGAGAAAACUAGGGGAAACAAUUAUAUUGUGGCCUGGGAAAAUCCUUCACUUGGUCACAUUAGCUCUGGAAAUUACAAGCUUUCCUAAAUGGAAAUAUGUUUCUCUUUGGCAUGUACAGUGCCCUACACUAAUAUUGGCACCCUUGGUAAAUAUGAGCAAAGAAGGCUGUGAAAAUUGUCUUUAUUGUUUAGGCUUUUGGUCUUUUGUUUAAAUUUUUUUCAAAAAUACUCUGCUCUCAUGUAUAUCAAACAAUUGCAAACACAACACAGAAAAAAAUAUAUUUUUGCUAAAUAUAGGUGUGCAACAAUUUUUGGCAUCCUUAUGAAUUCAUAUGAGAAAAAUAAAUUUGAAGCAUAUUCUCAUUGAUAUAUAUUUUUUAAAUUUGUACACCUGGGUGACUGGAACUUUGGAAAUUGUUUAACCAUGACUUCCUGUUUCACAGGGGUAUAAAUAUGAGGUAACAUAGGCCAAAUUCCCUUAGUCAUUCAUAACAAGUUGAAGUUCUAGUGGCUUUAUUGUCAUUUCAACCAUAUACAGUUGGUACAGUACACAGUGAAACGAAACAAAGUUCCUCCAGGACCAUGGUGCUACAUAAAACAAGACACUAACCACCUGACUGCCUCUACCAGAAAGCUUAAAAUGGGCUGUGGUUGGAUCUUCCAGCAGGACACUGAUCCAAAACAUACAUCAAAAUCAACACAAAAAUGGUUUACUGACCACAGAAACAAGGUCCUGCCACAGCCAUCCCAGUCCCCUGACUUGAAACCCAUAGAAAACCUGUGGGGUGAACUGAAGAGGAGAGUCCACCAGCAUGGACCUUGACAUUUAAAGGAUCUGGAGAGAUUCUGUAUGGAGGAAUGGUCUCAGAUCCCUUGCCAUGUAUUCUCCAACCUCAUCAGGCAUUAAAGGAGAAGACUCAGAGCUGUUAUCUUGGCAAAGGGAGGUAGCACACCUAUAUUUAACAAAGAUAUUUUUUGAAAAACCUGUGUUUUGUGAUUUUUGUUUGACAAAAGUUCAAAAGAUUAAACAGUAAAGACAAUUUUUCACAGCCUUCUUUGCUCUUAUUUACCAAGGGUGCCAAUAUUAGUGGAGGGCACUGUAUCUGAACAAUAAGAAACAUUAUAGCACGUUAAAAUCAACCAAAGGUCAAAAUGGUUUAAAUAAUUCAUUCCAAUUCCUGCUAAUGGUAAAACAAUAUUGUUGCCAAAUUUUACAGAAUUAUACAUUUACAAUUGGAAAUGAGUGACAUUUAAACACAAGCCUCAUGGCCGUCUCUUCAGUCAAAUGAUCUCUGUUCAUUGGUGGAGAUCAUUGGUGGAGAAAUAACAGAUGAUUAAUUCAGUCAGUUCUGUUCUGCUGGCUAAAUUUUCUUUUCAUAAGACCAUUUCAACAGUUGGACAGGCUUAUGACCUUCUCGGUAUGACAUGUAUAUAUCCAAAAACUGGAAUGGAGUUUUGGUCAAAAUCUUAUUUUUCAUCCAAACAUCUGACGGGUUUUCCCAGACCACCACAUAAAUCCUUUAACUAAUAAUUCCCUGACUGACAUUACUAUAAAUAUGAUAACUAUAAUGAAUUCACCAAUAUGUGUAUUUAUUAUGUAUAUUGAUAUCAGUUAGGACAUCAGAAUGUCACUAAACUGAAGUUUAAUCACUAAUCCACAUAGAUAUUUAGCUCUCAACUCUGGAGGCCCACUGAUUUGCACAGGCUCAGGUUUUCUCUGUUGCCAACAUGCCUGAUCCAAUUUGUGGAGGGAAUAUUCUAAUCAUGAUCAUGAUUUUUAGAUUUUUCAAAUAAUAAAUUGUAAUUUAAUGAAAUGUUAGUGAGCUAAUAUUAGAUAUCAGUCUUCACUGACUCUGGUUAAUUUAAU